Molecule: transfer-messenger RNA, 372 nt
Filed under: Burkholderiales
Lineage: Bacteria; Pseudomonadati; Pseudomonadota; Betaproteobacteria
Also listed under: 1 other name
Description: Ideonella sp017302485 Standard tmRNA
Rfam family: transfer-messenger RNA
About the family: Bacterial tmRNA, also known as 10Sa RNA or SsrA, is named for its dual tRNA and mRNA-like properties. Its role is to liberate the mRNA from a stalled ribosome. To accomplish this part of the tmRNA is used as a reading frame that ends in a translation stop signal.
Source: RNAcentral
GGGGCCGACCUGGUUUCGACGUGGGUGCGGAGUCGGGAUAGGGCAUGCCGAGCACCAGUUCGCUCGUAAAACCACUGGAAACAAGUAACUGCGAACGACGAACGUUUCGCCCUCGCCGCUUAACACCGGUGAGCCUCUCAGCAGUUGGCCGAUGGGCUGCGUCUGAGGUCGCAAGGCCGAAGACAGAGAGGUCAUUCACAUUGGCUGGUCGACCGGUGGGCCACUCACCAGGCGACGAGACUCAGUGGCUGGCAUCCCGGGCAGCGUGCUGCUGCGCGGCACGGGGUGUGAGAUCCAAAUCAGUCAGCUAAGCAUGUAGAUCUACCUGGCGAUGGCUUGCGGACGGGGGUUCAAUUCCCCCCGGCUCCACCA